This 500-nucleotide ribosomal RNA is filed under the name Prionoglaris sp. KY-2004. Its description in RNAcentral is "partial 16S ribosomal RNA". Lineage: Eukaryota; Metazoa; Arthropoda; Insecta; Psocodea; Prionoglarididae. The record is from RNAcentral.
UCUUUAAGAAAAUAAUUUUAAGUCCAAUCUGCUCACUGAAUUUUAAAGAGCCGCAGUAUUUUGACUGUGCUAAGGUAGCAUAAUCANUAGUUUUUUAAUUGAGAACUGGAAUGAAAGAUUUAAUGAGAAAAUAGCUUUCUUUAUUUAAAUGAAAAGAAUUUUAUUUUUAAUUUAAAAAGAUUAAAUUUUUAUAGGGGACGAGAAGACCCCAUAGAUUUUUAUUAUUUUAAUAAUUAAUUUAUUUAGUAUGUUUAAUAAUAAUUGUUAAGUUAAUUUUGUUGGGGUGAUAAGAAAAAAUGUGUAACUUUUCUAUAAAAUUUCUUUAUGAAAGAAUUUUUGAUCCAUUAAUUAUGAUUAUUAGUUUAAAUUACCUUGGGGAUAACAGCGUAAUUUUAUUAAAGAGUUCUUAUUGAUAAUAAAGUGUGCGACCUCGAUGUUGAAUUAAAAAAAGAUAUAGGAGCAGAAAUUUAUAUUCUUAGUCUGCNCGACUAUUAAAUUUU